GCGAGCUGGUGGGCGACCGUCGGGCGAAAGCCUGAGGAAACUCCACCCAUCGAGCAGGCCCGCGAGCCCGUGAGGGCCCAGCCGAGAGGUUGGGGCAAUGGCACAGAAACGAGACCUCCCUGUUCGUGCAUGAUGAUGCCGAAAGGCUGAAGUUGAACAGCGGAGGGUGAAACGGCCAACCCGCGGGAUGCAAGGGCAAGUUUCCGCCUAUGAACGCCUGCUGGAGGCGGGUGGUAGCCCGCUCAGCUGAAUGUCGCCUAAAACAGAAGGUGGGUUACGGCCAGCACGC
This 289-nucleotide RNase P RNA is filed under the name Hadesarchaea archaeon. RNAcentral's name for it is "RNase P RNA component". It matches the Rfam family "Archaeal RNase P". From Rfam's summary of the family: Ribonuclease P (RNase P) is a ubiquitous endoribonuclease, found in archaea, bacteria and eukarya as well as chloroplasts and mitochondria. Its best characterised activity is the generation of mature 5'-ends of tRNAs by cleaving the 5'-leader elements of precursor-tRNAs. Cellular RNase Ps are ribonucleoproteins. The record is from RNAcentral. Lineage: Archaea; Methanobacteriati; Hadarchaeota (SeqCode); Hadarchaeia (SeqCode).